RNAcentral lists this ribosomal RNA (248 nucleotides) under uncultured bacterium. RNAcentral's name for it is "partial 16S ribosomal RNA". It matches the Rfam family "Bacterial small subunit ribosomal RNA", at positions 109 to 353 of the family's 1533-position model. The record is from RNAcentral.
AGUAACGCGUGAGUAACCUGCCUUCAAGAGGGGGAUAACGUUCUGAAAAGAACGCUAAUACCGCAUGAGACUACAGAGCUGCAUGGCUCAGUGGUCAAAGGAGCAAUCCGCUGAAAGAUGGACUCGCGUCCGAUUAGAUAGUAGGCGGGGUAACGGCCCACCUAGUCGACGAUCGGUAGCCGGACUGAGAGGUUGAACGGCCACAUUGGGACUGAGACACGGCCCAGACUCCUACGGGAGGCAGCAUG